GGAUAUGUGAUCAAGGCAAUGGGCCAAGUUCUCUGUGGUCUUACAGUAGGUUUCUAGCUAAGAUGUGUCAAAGUGAAGCACACUGUGUUUUCUGGUCAUGAGUCACUUUGCAUGUGGCUUAACUCCAUCUGACUUGCUAAAUGCAGUAUUCAGAUUGACGGGUGAACUGGAAAUGGUGACUCCACAAAUGCUAGAUUUAUGUACUAGAAUGUUCUGGCAGUAUUUCCUAGUACUUUUGCUUUUUUGUAUCUAUUUUGUUCAUGUGCUAGUAUUUUAUAUGGUUAGAACACUAACAAAAAGGAUGUAAUUUCUUCAAACUAAUUCUUAUUUACAAAUUUGUAGUAGUCAUCUGCUAGAGUUUUGCAAAGAGUAGGCUCUCCUUUAGAUGAGCACUCUGUGUAAUUAACUUUGAAACGUUGAGGUUCUGCUUGACCUAGACUAGCUUCUGGGUUUGGAGAAAUGUUCAGGGAAGUCAUUUAAGAUUAAACAUUUCUUGUAUCAAGAUUCAAAACCAGUAUGUUAGCAGUUCUUAUUUGAUUAUAAACACCUAAAUGCUUCUGUAAUUUGUAAAACCAUUAAAAUUACCAAUUUUGUAUGUUAUAUACCACGUAGCCACAUGGGAUUAAUGACAGGUGAUGGUUUGUCCUUGAUGAAUAAAAGUAAUGCAAUUUAAAUAUUUCUGGUAUUGCUGAAAGUAUUUGACACUUUUUAUCAAUAUACAUUGAAAUUGAAACUACAUA
This is a long non-coding RNA of Oxyura jamaicensis (ruddy duck), 740 nucleotides long. RefSeq lists it as uncharacterized. The record is from RefSeq and is a predicted model, not a curated record. The transcript is spliced from 2 exons. Lineage: Eukaryota; Metazoa; Chordata; Aves; Anseriformes; Anatidae.